This 833-nucleotide ribosomal RNA is filed under the name uncultured bacterium. RNAcentral's name for it is "bacterial SSU rRNA". It matches the Rfam family "Bacterial small subunit ribosomal RNA", at positions 55 to 900 of the family's 1533-position model. The record is from RNAcentral.
AUGCAGUCGAACGAUGAAGCCCAGCUUGCUGGGUGGAUUAGUGGCGAACGGGUGAGUAACACGUGAGUAACCUGCCCUUAACUCUGGGAUAAGCCUGGGAAACUGGGUCUAAUACCGGAUAGGAGCGCCUACCGCAUGGUGGGUGUUGGAAAGAUUUAUCGGUUUUGGAUGGACUCGCGGCCUAUCAGCUUGUUGGUGAGGUAAUGGCUCACCAAGGCGACGACGGGUAGCCGGCCUGAGAGGGUGACCGGCCACACUGGGACUGAGACACGGCCCAGACUCCUACGGGAGGCAGCAGUGGGGAAUAUUGCACAAUGGGCGCAAGCCUGAUGCAGCGACGCCGCGUGAGGGAUGACGGCCUUCGGGUUGUAAACCUCUUUCAGUAGGGAAGAAGCGAAAGUGGCGGUACCUGCAGAAGAAGCACCGGCUAACUACGUGCCAGCAGCCGCGGUAAUACGUAGGGUGCGAGCGUUAUCCGGAAUUAUUGGGCGUAAAGAGCUCGUAGGCGGUUUGUCGCGUCUGUCGUGAAAGUCCGGGGCUUAACCCCGGAUCUGCGGUGGGUACGGGCAGACUAGAGUGCAGUAGGGGAGACUGGAAUUCCUGGUGUAGCGGUGGAAUGCGCAGAUAUCAGGAGGAACACCGAUGGCGAAGGCAGGUCUCUGGGCUGUAACUGACGCUGAGGAGCGAAAGCAUGGGGAGCGAACAGGAUUAGAUACCCUGGUAGUCCAUGCCGUAAACGUUGGGCACUAGGUGUGGGGACCAUUCCACGGUUUCCGCGCCGCAGCUAACGCAUUAAGUGCCCCGCCUGGGGAGUACGGCCGCAAGGCUAAAAC